Molecule: ribosomal RNA, 473 nt
Filed under: uncultured bacterium
Lineage: Bacteria
Description: SSU rRNA
Rfam family: Bacterial small subunit ribosomal RNA
Source: RNAcentral
AGGACGAACGCUGGCGGCGUGCUUAACACAUGCAAGUCGAGCGGAAAGGCCCUUCGGGGUACUCGAGCGGCGAACGGGUGAGUAACACGUGAGCAACCUGCCCUUAGCUUCGGGAUAGCUCCGGGAAACCGGAAUUAAUACCGAAUAUGACUUUGGCUGACAUCAGCAGAAGUGGAAAGUUUUUCGGCUAGGGAUGGACUCGCGGCCUAUCAGCUAGUUGGUGAGGUAACGGCCCACCAAGGCGACGACGGGUAGCCGGCCUGAGAGGGCGACCGGCCACACUGGGACUGAGACACGGCCCAGACUCCUACGGGAGGCAGCAGUGGGGAAUAUUGCGCAAUGGGGCGAAAGCCUGACGCAGCGACGCCGCGUGGGGGAUGAAUGCCUUCGGGUUGUAACCCCUUUCAGCAGGGACGAAGCGAAAGUGACGGUACCUGCAGAAGAAGCGCCGGCUACUACGCGCCAGCAGCCGC